UACGGAGGAUCCAAGCGUUAUCCGGAUUCAUUGGGUUUAAAGGGUGCGUAGGCGGACUGAUAAGUCAGCGGUGAAAUCUCUCGGCUCAACCGAGAAACUGCCGUUGAUACUGUUAGUCUUGAAUGCAGAUGAUGUGGGCGGAAUAUGACAUGUAGUGGUGAAAUACUUAGAUAUGUCAUAGAACACCGAUUGCGAAGGCAGCUCACAAAACUGUGAUUGACGCUGAUGCACGAAAGCGUGGGGAUCAAACAGG
RNAcentral lists this ribosomal RNA (253 nucleotides) under uncultured bacterium. Its description in RNAcentral is "partial 16S ribosomal RNA". It matches the Rfam family "Bacterial small subunit ribosomal RNA", at positions 524 to 776 of the family's 1533-position model. The record is from RNAcentral.